RNAcentral lists this ribosomal RNA (253 nucleotides) under uncultured bacterium. RNAcentral's name for it is "partial 16S ribosomal RNA". It matches the Rfam family "Bacterial small subunit ribosomal RNA", at positions 524 to 776 of the family's 1533-position model. The record is from RNAcentral.
UACGAACCGCACGAACGUUAUUCGGAAUCACUGGGCUUAAAGGGUGCGUAGGCGGUCUAGUAAGUUGGGUGUGAAAUCCCUCGGCUCAACCGAGGAAUAGCGCUCAAUACUGCUAGACUUGAGGGAGAUAGAGGUAAGCGGAACUCAGGGUGGAGCGGUGAAAUGUGUUGAUAUCCUGGGGAACACCAGUUGCGAAAGCGGCUUACUGGGUCUCUUCUGACGCUGAGGCACGAAAGCUAGGGGAGCGAACGGG